GUGUACGUAAUUUAAAAAAAAUAUCAAGUUGUGACCUUGAAAA
Molecule: transfer RNA, 43 nt
Filed under: Crotalus pricei pricei
Lineage: Eukaryota; Metazoa; Chordata; Lepidosauria; Squamata; Viperidae
Description: partial tRNA-His
Source: RNAcentral